RNAcentral lists this ribosomal RNA (420 nucleotides) under uncultured bacterium. RNAcentral's name for it is "bacterial SSU rRNA". It matches the Rfam family "Bacterial small subunit ribosomal RNA", at positions 355 to 773 of the family's 1533-position model. The record is from RNAcentral.
UGAGGAAUAUUGGUCAAUGGACGCAAGUCUGAACCAGCCAUGCCGCGUGAAGGAUGAAGGUCCUCUGGAUUGUAAACUUCUUUUAUCUGGGACGAAAACGGGAUUUUUAUCUCAAUUGACGGUACCAGAGGAAUAAGCACCGGCUAACUCCGUACCAGCAGCCGCGGUAAUACGGAGGGUGCGAGCGUUAUCCGGAUUUACUGGGUUUAAAGGGUGCGUAGGUGGGCUUAUAAGUCAGUGGUGAAAUCUCCGAGCUUAACUUGGAAACUGCCGUUGAUACUAUAGGUCUUGAAUUAUCUGGAGGUAAGCGGAAUAUGUCAUGUAGCGGUGAAAUGCUUAGAUAUGACAUAGAACACCAAUUGCGAAGGCAGCUUACUACAUAUAAAUUGACGCUGAGGCACGAAAGCGUGGGGAUCAAAC